GAGAGUAUAGCUCAGUGGUAGAGCGUGUGUCUAGCAAGCACAAGAUCCUGGGUUCAAUCCCUAGUACCUCCA
This 72-nucleotide transfer RNA is filed under the name Camelus bactrianus (Bactrian camel). It matches the Rfam family "tRNA". From Rfam's summary of the family: Transfer RNA (tRNA) molecules are approximately 80 nucleotides in length. Their secondary structure includes four short double-helical elements and three loops (D, anti-codon, and T loops). RNAcentral also lists the same sequence under 2 other names. Lineage: Eukaryota; Metazoa; Chordata; Mammalia; Artiodactyla; Camelidae. The record is from Rfam by way of RNAcentral.